RNAcentral lists this ribosomal RNA (920 nucleotides) under uncultured bacterium. RNAcentral describes it as "bacterial SSU rRNA". It matches the Rfam family "Bacterial small subunit ribosomal RNA", at positions 33 to 944 of the family's 1533-position model. The record is from RNAcentral.
ACGCUAGCUACAGGCUUAACACAUGCAAGUCGAGGGGAAACGGCAUUAAGUGCUUGCACUUUUUGGACGUCGACCGGCGCACGGGUGAGUAACGCGUAUCCAACCUUCCCAUGACUAAGGGAUAACCUGCCGAAAGGCAGACUAAUACCUUAUGGUCUUCACUGACGGCAUCAGAUGUGAAGUAAAGAUUUAUCGGUUAUGGAUGGGGAUGCGUCUGAUUAGCUUGUUGGCGGGGUAACGGCCCACCAAGGCAACGAUCAGUAGGGGUUCUGAGAGGAAGGUCCCCCACAUUGGAACUGAGACACGGUCCAAACUCCUACGGGAGGCAGCAGUGAGGAAUAUUGGUCAAUGGGCGAGAGCCUGAACCAGCCAAGUAGCGUGCGGGAUGACGGCCCUAUGGGUUGUAAACUGCUUUUGUAUGGGGAUAAAGUCAAUCACGUGUGAUUGUUUGCAGGUACCAUACGAAUGAGGACCGGCUAAUUCCGUGCCAGCAGCCGCGGUAAUACGGAAGGUCCGGGCGUUAUCCGGAUUUAUUGGGUUUAAAGGGAGCGUAGGCUGGAGAUUAAGUGUGUUGUGAAAUGUAGACGCUCAACGUCUGACUUGCAGCGCAUACUGGUUUCCUUGAGUACGCACAACGUUGGCGGAAUUCGUCGUGUAGCGGUGAAAUGCUUAGAUAUGACGAAGAACUCCGAUUGCGAAGGCAGCUGACGGGAGCGCAACUGACGCUGAAGCUCGAAGGUGCGGGUAUCGAACAGGAUUAGAUACCCUGGUAGUCCGCACAGUAAACGAUGGAUGCCCGCUGUUGGUACCUGGUAUCAGCGGCUAAGCGAAAGCAUUAAGCAUCCCACCUGGGGAGUACGCCGGCAACGGUGAAACUCAAAGGAAUUGACGGGGGCCCGCACAAGCGGAGGAACAUGUGG